AGAGUUUGAUCAUGGCUCAGAGCGAACGCUGGCGGCAGGCUUAACACAUGCAAGUCGAACGCUCGUCUUCGGACGGGAGUGGCAGACGGGUGAGUAACACGUGGGAACGUACCCUUUGGUUCGGAAUAACGCAGGGAAACUUGCGCUAAUACCGGAUACGCCCUUUUGGGGAAAGGUUUACUGCCGAAGGAUCGGCCCGCGUCUGAUUAGCUAGUUGGUGGGGUAACGGCCUACC
Molecule: ribosomal RNA, 235 nt
Filed under: uncultured bacterium
Lineage: Bacteria
Description: partial 16S ribosomal RNA
Rfam family: Bacterial small subunit ribosomal RNA
Source: RNAcentral